Non-coding RNA from Lepisosteus oculatus (spotted gar), 822 nucleotides. The record is from RefSeq and is a predicted model, not a curated record. Lineage: Eukaryota; Metazoa; Chordata; Actinopteri; Semionotiformes; Lepisosteidae.
ACGCGGCCCGUGUCUGGAUCGGGGGGUUCGAGCUGUUCCGGAGUGGUCGUUUCACAUGGACUGAUGGCACAAAUUGGGACUACUCUCGCUGGAUUGCUGGGUUUCCUGUAAGAUACAUACGGGCCUGUGUGGAGCUGAACUGGAACAUCCGAGGCACCUGGAGUGACCACAGCUGUUACCUGAGGAAGCCCUUUGUGUGCAAGCACAGUUUCUAAAGGAAAACCUCUCCGCUCUGCCUCUGCGCUGUGCUACAGUCAUCGCUGACCUCGGGCACUGACCACCGACCACUGACCACCGACCACCGACCACCGACCAGAGCAGCCUUGCCUUCUCCAGGUUCACGAAUGGGGGUGGGGGGAGUUUGUCUUCCCCAUUUCUGAAGAAUUAAUAUUGGACAAAGGCCACAGUCUUGGAGAGGGAUUCAUAAGAAAUUUCAGAUUUUUCAGCAGCAGCUUCCUUGAUAACAGUUACAAGUACAAUUUGUGAUACAUUUAAAAGAUAAGCAAAUGCCAGUUUAAAAGUCCCUUUUAGCUCAGGUUAGAACUUUUAACUGCAGUAGCCUUGAUUCACAUUUUUGAAUAACAACUAAAAAAGCAUAAAAAAGCAAACUUCCUUGUCGACAAGGUCAUUUUGGUACAUGAUUAAACUAAGGUCACGCUGCAAUCUAGAAUGUAAUGAAGGAACAUUUCAUUACAGUAAUCCACCCUUCUCUUUUGAGUCUUUGUGUCCUGGUGAGUCUGUGCUACUGUGUCCACUUGGUGUUCUUUGCUUCUGCAAUAUGAAAUAAGCAAUAAACUGCAUUUGAUGAGCAUGGAAAUAUCA